RNAcentral lists this long non-coding RNA (1003 nucleotides) under Helianthus annuus (common sunflower). RNAcentral describes it as "hypothetical non coding rna". Lineage: Eukaryota; Viridiplantae; Streptophyta; Magnoliopsida; Asterales; Asteraceae. The record is from RNAcentral.
UCUCAUCUUCUUUGACGAUGUCAGAUCUUCUAUGCCAUCGCGAUUUCUCCAUCACUACGAAUUCUUCAUCAUGAAGGAUCUGGAUGGGUAGAAAGCUCAAGACUUUGGCUGCACUUAAAGAGGAGGGGACUGUUUUAAUGGAGGGAGGAACAAUAUGAUUUGAAAAGGUCCGGUAACUCAGAGACAUUUCCGGUGUACCGAGCACUGGCAGAAGGUUAUUAAGAUAUCGGAGGUUUCAUGGUGGAUGGUUUGGGCGAAGGCGACAAAGACGUUUUUUGGCACCAGGGUCACAAGGAAAACAUAGAAGCUGCUCUUCAUGUAUUUGAAGGAAUUGAUAUGUGUAUAUGAAAAGAUAAAAUCCAGUAGGAUAUUGCUCUUUGAUUACCUCAACUUCUAAUUGGUUUGGCAAUGGAACUAUCUCCUUGUUUCUCCGUUCAUUCAUGACUCAUCUAAAGUUAGAUAAUUCAAUGAUAAAGAUGAUUGAAACUAAUGAUGCUGGAUAGCUUAAGGAAUCAAGUGGGAGAGUUUGGAGACGGGAUCUAUAUCAGGUAAUUUUCGUCAACUAUGCUGGCUUGUUCUGCACUAUUCCAAAAGAUAAGUUGUGGCGUUUCAAAUAUGAUAUACAUCACUUGCUCACAGGUUUUUUAACUUUAUUUUUUUUCAAGCUUUAGUUGCUAAGUUGCACAGGCUUACAGCUACCAGUGGUUACUUCUGAUUCAAAAACCUGGUGGACUUGGUGUACGAGAAGAAGAUUUAGCAGUGAGCAUUUGAUUGAGGUAAUCCUCUCAGAAGUAACAGAUGCAGAGUUUCUUCUCCCUGAAAUCUUUGCUUUAGAAGAAAUGAAGCAUGCCAAGUCUGAAGAUGGAAAAAUGCUUAGCAAGCCUUUUUUAGACGUCUGCAAAUAGAUAUUAUUCUACCAUCUUGUAAGAACGUUUUGUAAGAGAAAGCCUAAUUAGUUGUUUGGAACCUUAAAAGGGUGAGGUUUUACAUAAGGUGCAUUUUC